RNAcentral lists this ribosomal RNA (484 nucleotides) under uncultured bacterium. Its description in RNAcentral is "partial 16S ribosomal RNA". It matches the Rfam family "Bacterial small subunit ribosomal RNA", at positions 30 to 507 of the family's 1533-position model. The record is from RNAcentral.
AGUGAACGCUGGCGGCAGGCCUAACACAUGCAAGUCGAGCGGCAGCGGGUCCUUCGGGAUGCCGGCGAGCGGCGGACGGGUGAGGAAUACAUCGGAAUCUGCCCUGUCGUGGGGGAUAACCUAGGGAAACUUAGGCUAAUACCGCAUACGACCUACGGGUGAAAGCGGGGGAUCGCAAGACCUCGCGCGACAGGAUGAGCCGAUGUCCGAUUAGCUAGUUGGCGGGGUAAAGGCCCACCAAGGCGACGAUCGGUAGCUGGUCUGAGAGGAUGAUCAGCCAUACUGGGACUGAGACACGGCCCAGACUCCUACGGGAGGCAGCAGUGGGGAAUAUUGGACAAUGGGCGCAAGCCUGAUCCAGCCAUGCCGCGUGGGUGAAGAAGGCCUUCGGGUUGUAAAGCCCUUUUGUCCGGGAAGAAAUCGUCUGGGCUAAUACCCCGGGCGGAUGACGGUACCGGAAGAAUAAGCACCGGCUAACUUCGUG